RNAcentral lists this ribosomal RNA (345 nucleotides) under uncultured bacterium. RNAcentral's name for it is "bacterial SSU rRNA". It matches the Rfam family "Bacterial small subunit ribosomal RNA", at positions 28 to 401 of the family's 1533-position model. The record is from RNAcentral.
GACGAACGCUGGCGGUGUGCUUCACACAUGCAAGUCGAACGAGGUAGCAAUACCUAGUGGCGGACGGGUGAGUAACGCGUGGGAAUCUGCCUUUAGAUGGGGGAUAACGGGUCGAAAGACUCGCUAAUACCGCAUAUGACGAAAGUUGAAAGGAGUAAUCCGUCUAAAGAUGAGCCCGCGUCCGAUUAGCUAGUUGGUAGAGUAAAAGCCUACCAAGGCGACGAUCGGUAGCUGGUCUGAGAGGAUGAUCAGCCACAAUGGGAACUGAGACACGGCCCAUACUCCUACGGGAGGCAGCAGUGGGAAUUUACGCAAUGGGCGAAAGCCUGACGUAGCGACACCGCG